Molecule: long non-coding RNA, 2155 nt
Organism: Hydractinia symbiolongicarpus
Lineage: Eukaryota; Metazoa; Cnidaria; Hydrozoa; Anthoathecata; Hydractiniidae
Exons: 2
Source: RefSeq, a predicted model, not a curated record
GGCCAUACCUGUUGUUUCCUAUUUUUAUGUUUUGAUUCAAAUUUUUUCAUUGCAACCUAAUAUUUAAACUCGUAAAGAAGGCGAUAAUUCUUAUAAUACUCUCAGAAAAUCACCAACUUUCAACUGAUAGUUAUUUUAUAAAAAAACUCGUUAAUAAUGGAGUAAUUAAUAUGCACAGUUUAUUGUUUGUGUUUUAAAACGUAAACCGAAAUCUUAAGAUGGGAUUAGACGGAAUUUUUUGUUGUUUGUUCAUUUAUUGACGGAUAGGCUUUUUAACCCGCGGCACGCUUCGUCACUAAGGUAUUAAAUUGUCAUUAAUUUAAUGAAUCGAACUGUGUGUAAUCCAUCUUCACAAAGAUUAGCUCUUGGCUACCCUUUUGAACAGAAAUGUCUCCAGCAAAGAGCAUAAACGCCGUCUAUAAGAACAAUUCUUAAAAAAAAAACUGAAUGACUUUUAAUUUUUUUAGCUGCUUCUAUUAGCAUGAGCUGAAACGGUAUAUUUUAUGUUUGUCUAAUUUCAUGAAAGAACUAGUGAUUGUCACCUGCAUUGACUGCAAUAAACAAAAGACAAGAAAAGCUAGGUGCCUUAAAGUAAAUAAAGUUAUGAACAACUUUGCGUAUUUGUAUUUUCAUAUUUCAAUAUUAAGGAAAUGCAAUACCGACUUGAGAGUGUCGCCGGCUAGACAGAAUUACAAAUACUUUUCCAGUCUAGCGUAAAGACGCUUGGUUAAAAUUUAUAUUUACAUAAUAAUAACUCACUGUUCAUAUAAUCAGUAUAUUUAACGCUAAUGUGUAACAUUUUGGAUGUGGUGUGACCAUUAUAGAUAAGGAUAAAUAAUUAUAAUCAAACAAUAUUGUUUGAUAUAACAUCCUGUUACGGUGUGAGACACAGAGAGGUAGAUGAGAACAGCUAUUUCUUCGAAAGUACAGAUAAUUAGCAAACGUAUGCAAGAAGUACGCUUCAUUCAUUCAUUGACAACUUCCUGAAUUAUCCUGAUUAAAAUAUUUUAAAAAUGAUAAGAAUUCCGAGUUUUUUGAAAAAAAAAUGUUAAUCUAAUAUUUUAUACAUCUUGUCUUUCCCAUCAUUUGUUUAUAUUUUUUAAAAAUUCUAAGCAAUGAAUAUUUAGCUUUCCUGGUAAAUAAAUCGUGUUGUCUUACCAAAUAAAAAAUAGUAGAGACAUUUUUAUGCAAGCUGUCAAUGCCUUACGCAAUUUUUAAUAGCGCCCUUGAUAACAUACGAGAUACACUAAAUCAUAUUAAGUUUUCGAGAUAAGAAAGUUACGUAGCUAUAAAAAAAAAUUGAGCUUUCAAUAUUCCCUCUUCUAUUUAUAUAUAUCCACUUUAUUACCUGCGUUUGAUUCGCUGCCAAGAAAAACAAUAAUUGUAUUAAUUUUGAGAAUUCAUUAUGUCAAUGUUUUUUGUUAGCAAAAGUAAUUAUAACAAAUAAUGAACAAUAGUUAUUGUUUAUAAUAAGGUAUAAAUAAGCCGGCCAGAACAUGCUUAAGUCAUUAUACGUUCGAAGUUAAAAGGAGAAGUAAGACUCGCAACGAUUUCCAAGUUUGAUUAAUCAACACUGAGGCUAAAUGUUUUGUGACAACAUGAAGUGUUUGUUGGUAAUCGCAGUCGUGAUAAAUAUAUGCUAUGUACACACAGCUCCGAUCGCUCGUGAUAAAAACGAGUCGAAGAUGAUUUGUAUCUUCAAAUGUCGAACAAAAUUUCAACAGUGCGUAAAUUCGGAUAUAUUAUUGUUCAAAACAUGCAAAGACGGACAGUAUAGAUGUCGGACAAAGUGCGAUAAAAAGACAGGGAAAACGAUGAUAGCAAAGUUAAGAAAAAGAAUGAAGAAAGUGGAAGCUAAUUUAAAAAAAUUGUAGUUGAACUACAUUGGACGCCAUUAUGGGAUAAACGAUGCUUGAUCAUUACGUCGUCAAAAACAUAUUCUCAGAAGAAUUUAUAGUUCCGAAUGUCCCUCCCGUAAAUGUGAUAUCACUUCAAUCGGACCCUAUGACUAAAUAAUUUAAAUAAGUUAUAUAAAUAUGUUGAUCAUAAUAAAUUAUUUUUUGUUAGUGUUUUUAUUCUAAUUAGAUAUAAAUAGUUCAUAUAGAUGUAAAUAUAUAUUUAUUUAUUUAUCUUAAAUAUAUAUUCUAGACGAAAA